GAAAUUUCAACAAAAGCUUACUCCCAACAACUGCCACUUUAGACUUACAAAUGAAGAAAAACUUGAAGACGACUUCCUUAACGAUGUAUUCCAAAAACUUGGCAUAGCGGGCGAUGGACCUGAGAGAGAAUCUAUAAGCACCGACGAAAAGAAUCAUAUCUCUAAGUUUCCGACCGUCGAAGAAAAAUCUUGGCUGUUGGUCAAAUUUGAGGAGUACUCAGUAUUCGGUGUAAUUGUUUCCAGCGAUUUUCUGGCAAGUCUUAAAUACGACGUUCUCAUUUUCAUGACUCUUCGGGAGCUAGGAUUCGAUUGCAAUUGUCCUCUUUUAUCUCUUGAAUAA
RNAcentral lists this unclassified non-coding RNA (340 nucleotides) under Caenorhabditis elegans. RNAcentral describes it as "Non-coding transcript of protein-coding gene fbxa-137". Lineage: Eukaryota; Metazoa; Nematoda; Chromadorea; Rhabditida; Rhabditidae. The record is from RNAcentral.